Molecule: ribosomal RNA, 253 nt
Filed under: uncultured bacterium
Lineage: Bacteria
Description: partial 16S ribosomal RNA
Rfam family: Bacterial small subunit ribosomal RNA
Source: RNAcentral
UACGAAGGGGGCGAGCGUUGUUCGGAAUCACUGGGCGUAAAGGGCGCGUAGGCGGCCCUUCUUGUCGCGUGUGAAAGCCCCGGGCUCAACCUGGGAAUGGCGCGCGAGACGGGGGGGCUGGAGUUCGGGAGAGGAGCGUGGAAUUCCCAGUGUAGAGGUGAAAUUCGUAGAUAUCUGGAGGAACACCGGUGGCGAAGGCGGCAUCCUGGACCAAUAUUGACGCUGAGGAGCGAAAGCCAGGGGAGCAAACGGG